Molecule: unclassified non-coding RNA, 263 nt
Filed under: plant metagenome
Description: partial contains small subunit ribosomal RNA, internal transcribed spacer 1, and 5.8S ribosomal RNA
Source: RNAcentral
UUUCCGUUGGUGAACCUGCGGAAGGAUCAUUAUUGUAUAACCGAGGUGCGAGGGCUGUCGCUGACCCGAAAGGUCGUGCACGCCCGAGUGCCCUCACACACAUCCAUCUCACCCCUAUGUGCACCACCGCGUGGGUCCCCCUUUGGCUUGUUCGGAGGGGGGCUUACGUUUUCACACAAACUUUGUAUGCAGUGUAGAAUGUAUUUUUUGUUCUUGCGAUCACGCAAUCAAUACAACUUUCAACAACGGAUCUCUUGGCUCUC